RNAcentral lists this long non-coding RNA (369 nucleotides) under Pan troglodytes (chimpanzee). Its description in RNAcentral is "long non-coding RNA NONPTRT015433". Lineage: Eukaryota; Metazoa; Chordata; Mammalia; Primates; Hominidae. The record is from RNAcentral.
AUAAGCAACACGUGGACUCUGGAAGGGAAGGAAGAAGUUACAGCUCAGUGCACCAUGAAGUUGAGACAGAGAUGGAGACACCUCAGCCCCACCUCUCUGGAACAGGAAAGAUGAUUGGGGAGGGAGCACAGGUCAGCGUGGGAAGAGGGUCAUGGUGGACAUGGGGGUGGGGUGGUCUCCCCACCUCCACACAUUAUGCCUACAUGAACACAGACACAUGCAGGUGCCUUUGCAGAAACAAAGUCAGGGUUCUUCAAGUCACAAAGGGAAGGGCAGGAACAACUCUUGCCUCUCAGUCCCACACAAGGCAGCUGUCUCACACUAUAGAAAAAAAUAUUCAUGAACAAAUUCAUAUCCGUCACAGUGAGG